AUUGGACAUGGAGGCAACUCUGAUCCAGCGAUGCCGCGUGAAGGAAGACGGCCCUAUGGGUUGUAAACUUCUUUUAUACAGGAAGAAACCUUUCCACGUGUGGAAAGCUGACGGUACUGUAAGAAUAAGGAUCGGCUAACUCCGUGCCAGCAGCCGCGGUAAUACGGAGGAUCCAAGCGUUAUCCGGAAUUAUUGGGUUUAAAGGGUCCGCAGGCUGUUUGUUAAGUCAGGGGUGAAAUCCUACCGCUCAACGGUAGAACUGCCUUUGAUACUGGCAAACUUGAGUUAUUGUGAAGUAGUUAGAAUGUGUAGUGUAGCGGUGAAAUGCAUAGAUAUUACACAGAAUACCGAUUGCGAAAGCAGAUUACUAACAAUAUACUGACGCUGAGGGACGAAAGCGUGGGUAGCGAACAGGAUUAGAUACCCUGGUAGUCCACGCCGUAAACGAUGGUCACUAGCUGUUCGAUGUACAUUGGUACAUUGAGUGGCUAAGCGAAAGUGAUAAGUGACCCACCUGGGGAGUACGCUCGCAAGAGUGAAACUCAAAGGAAUUGACGGGGGCCCGCACAAGCGGUGGAGCAUGUGGUUUAAUUCGAUGAUACGCGAGGAACCUUACCAGGACUUAAAUGUAAGUUGCAUGAUUCAGAAAUGGAUCUUUCUUCGGACUACUUACAAGGUGCUGCAUGGUUGUCGUCAGCUCGUGCCGUGAGGUGUCAGGUUAAGUCCUAUAACGAGCGCAACCCCUAUCGUUAGUUGCCAUCAAGUAAAGUUGGGAACUCUAGCGAAACUGCCGGUGCAAACCGUGAGGAAGGUGGGGAUGACGUCAAAUCAUCACGGCCCUUACGUUCUGGGCUACACACGUGCUACAAUGGCCGGUACAGAAAGCAGCCACUAUGCGAAUAGGAGCUAAUCUUCAAAGCCGGUCUCAGUUCGAAUCGCAGUCUGCAACUCGACUGCGUGAAGCUGGAAUCGCUAGUAAUCGGAUAUCAGCCAUGAUCCGGUGAAUACGUUCCCGGGCCUUGUACACACCGCCCGUCAAGCCAUGGAAGCUGGGGGUACCUAAAGUCGGUGACCGAAAGGAGCCGCCUAGGGUAAAACUAGUAACUGGGGCUAAGUCGUAACAAGGUAGCCGUACCGGAAGGUGCGGCUGGAAUACCUCCUUUCU
This 1165-nucleotide ribosomal RNA is filed under the name uncultured Flavobacteriaceae bacterium. RNAcentral describes it as "bacterial SSU rRNA". It matches the Rfam family "Bacterial small subunit ribosomal RNA", at positions 363 to 1533 of the family's 1533-position model. The record is from RNAcentral. Lineage: Bacteria; Pseudomonadati; Bacteroidota; Flavobacteriia; Flavobacteriales; Flavobacteriaceae.